UACAGAGGUCCCGAGCGUUGUUCGGAUUCACUGGGCGUAAAGGGUGCGUAGGUGGCAAGGUAAGUUUGAUGUGAAAUCUCCGAGCUUAACUCGGAAAAUGCAUUGAAUACUAUCUGGCUAGAGGUUUGGAGGGGGGACUGGAAUUCUUGGUGUAGCAGUGAAAUGCGUAGAUAUCAGGAGGAACUCCGGUGGCGAAGGCGGGUCUCUGGGCCGAUACUGACGCUGAGGAGCGAAAGCGUGGGGAGCGAACAGG
RNAcentral lists this ribosomal RNA (253 nucleotides) under uncultured bacterium. RNAcentral's name for it is "partial 16S ribosomal RNA". It matches the Rfam family "Bacterial small subunit ribosomal RNA", at positions 524 to 776 of the family's 1533-position model. The record is from RNAcentral.